This 466-nucleotide ribosomal RNA is filed under the name uncultured bacterium. RNAcentral describes it as "partial 16S ribosomal RNA". It matches the Rfam family "Bacterial small subunit ribosomal RNA", at positions 28 to 523 of the family's 1533-position model. The record is from RNAcentral.
GAUAAACGCUGGCGGCGUGCGUAAAACAUGCAAGUCGGACGGGCAUCUUCGGAUGCCAGUGGCGGACGGCUGAGUAACACGUAAGUGACCUACCCUGUAGUGGGGAAUAACUGCUCGAAAGAGUGGCUAAUACCGCAUGAGCUCCUGGUUUCGGUAUCAGGAGGAAAGUCGCAAGACGCUAGAGGAUGGGCUUGCGGCCGAUUAGCUAGUUGGAGGGGUAAAGGCCCACCAAGGCGAUGAUCGGUAGCUGGUCUGAGAGGAUGAUCAGCCAGACUGGGACUGCGACACGGCCCAGACUCCUACGGGAGGCAGCAGUUAGGAAUUUUGCGCAAUGGCCGAAAGGCUGACGCAGCAACGCCGCGUGAGGGAUGAAGGUCUUCGGAUCGUAAACCUCUUUUGCACGGGAAGAUGGUGACGGUACCGUGCGAAUAAGCCCCGGCUAACUACGUGCCAGCAGCCGCUGUAA